GACUUGAAAUUAAAGUCCCUCUAUCCCC
Molecule: transfer RNA, 28 nt
Filed under: Amorphophallus hohenackeri
Lineage: Eukaryota; Viridiplantae; Streptophyta; Magnoliopsida; Alismatales; Araceae
Description: partial tRNA-Leu
Source: RNAcentral